Molecule: ribosomal RNA, 237 nt
Filed under: uncultured bacterium
Lineage: Bacteria
Description: partial 16S ribosomal RNA
Rfam family: Bacterial small subunit ribosomal RNA
Source: RNAcentral
UUCGGACUUAGCGGCGGACGGGUGAGUAACGCGUGGGAACAUACCCUUUGGUACGGAAUAGCCUCGGGAAACUGGGAGUAAUACCGUAUGUGCCCUUCGGGGGAAAGAUUUAUCGCCAAAGGAUUGGCCCGCGUUGGAUUAGGUAGUUGGUGGGGUAAUGGCCUACCAAGCCGACGAUCAGUAGCUGGUCUGAGAGGAUGAUCAGUCACACAGGAACUGAGACACGGUCCAGACUCC